This 468-nucleotide ribosomal RNA is filed under the name uncultured bacterium. Its description in RNAcentral is "partial 16S ribosomal RNA". It matches the Rfam family "Bacterial small subunit ribosomal RNA", at positions 28 to 507 of the family's 1533-position model. The record is from RNAcentral.
GACGAACGCUGGCGGCGUGCUUAACACAUGCAAGUCGAACGGAAAGACCCUGCUUUUGUGGGGUGCUCGAGUGGCGAACGGGUGAGUAACACGUGAGUAACCUGCCCUUGACUUUGGGAUAACUUCAGGAAACUGGGGCUAAUACCGGAUAGGAGCUCCUGCUGCAUGGUGGGGGUUGGAAAGUUUCGGCGGUUGGGGAUGGACUCGCGGCUUAUCAGCUUGUUGGUGGGGUAGUGGCUUACCAAGGCUUUGACGGGUAGCCGGCCUGAGAGGGUGACCGGCCACAAUGGGACUGAGAGACGGCCCAGACUCCUACGGGAGGCAGCAGGGGGGAAUAUUGCACAAUGGGCGGAAGCCUGAUGCAGCAACGCCGCGUGCGGGAUGACGGCCUUCGGGUUGUAAACCGCUUUCGCCUGUGACGAAGCGUGAGUGACGGUAAUGGGUAAAGAAGCACCGGCUAACUACGUG